This 442-nucleotide ribosomal RNA is filed under the name uncultured bacterium. Its description in RNAcentral is "partial 16S ribosomal RNA". It matches the Rfam family "Bacterial small subunit ribosomal RNA", at positions 338 to 795 of the family's 1533-position model. The record is from RNAcentral.
CCUACGGGAGGCAGCAGUAGGGAAUCUUUCACAAUGGGCGAAAGCCUGAUGGAGCAACGCCGCGUGCAGGAUGAAGGCCUUCGGGUUGUAAACUGCUUUUAUAAGCGAGAAAUAUGAUGGUAACUUAUGAAUAAGGAUCGGCUAACUACGUGCCAGCAGCCGCGGUCAUACGUAGGAUCCGAGCAUUAUCCGGAGUGUCGGGGUGUAAAGAGUUGCGUAGGUGGCAUAAUAAGUAGCUAGUGAAAUCUGGUGGCUCAACCAUUCAGACUAUUAGCUAAACUGUUAAGCUCGAGACCGUUAGGGGUAACUGGAAUUUCUAGUGUAGGAGUGAAAUCCGUAGAUAUUAGAAGGAACACCAGUAGCGUAGGCAGGUUGCUGGGACGGUUCUGACACUAAGGCACGAAAGCGUAGGGAGCAAACGGGAUUAGAUACCCGGGUAGUC